RNAcentral lists this long non-coding RNA (425 nucleotides) under Cairina moschata (Muscovy duck). RNAcentral's name for it is "domestica (muscovy Duck (domestic type)) lncRNA (ENSCMMG00000000877.1)". Lineage: Eukaryota; Metazoa; Chordata; Aves; Anseriformes; Anatidae. The record is from RNAcentral.
CCUGGUGCGCGCCGAGUGCCGCGGGGCGCUGGACGGCGUCCCCUUCUGCAGCACCCUAAAAGGGUACGUGACCAUGCGGCUGGAGACCCUGGAGCAGGAGCAGCACCAGAGGCUGGAGUUCGCAGCGCACCCCAUAGAGACGAGGACCCACAUGGUGCAGCAGCCCCGCGGGAUGGCCGUCACCGUCAGCACCCGGGAGGGGAAGGCAGAACCCCGGUCCCGGGACUUCUCCUACGGCUGGGCCUCGCUGGGGGGGCUGCUGGGGGAGGCCGCCAGCCUCCUGCUGCUGCGGGUGCUGGCUCGCCGCCGCGCCGUGCCCCCCGGCCUCGUCUUCCCGGCCAUCGACGGCGAGGGGCACCUCGGCACCGCCACCUACGUGAGCCCUCCUGGCCCCUGGGCAGGGGGCGUUUUGGGGGGGAGGAUUG